Molecule: ribosomal RNA, 465 nt
Filed under: Vreelandella stevensii
Lineage: Bacteria; Pseudomonadati; Pseudomonadota; Gammaproteobacteria; Oceanospirillales; Halomonadaceae
Description: partial 16S ribosomal RNA
Rfam family: Bacterial small subunit ribosomal RNA
Source: RNAcentral
CCUACGGGUGGCAGCAGUGGGGAAUAUUGGACAAUGGGGGCAACCCUGAUCCAGUCAUGCCGCGUGUGUGAAGAAGGCCCUCGGGUUGUAAAGCACUUUCAGUGAGGAAGAACGCCUGGUGGUUAAUACCCAUCAGGAAAGACAUCACUCACAGAAGAAGCACCGGCUAACUCCGUGCCAGCAGCCGCGGUAAUACGGAGGGUGCGAGCGUUAAUCGGAAUUACUGGGCGUAAAGCGCGCGUAGGUGGCUUGAUAAGCCGGUUGUGAAAGCCCCGGGCUCAACCUGGGAACGGCAUCCGGAACUGUCAAGCUAGAGUGCAGGAGAGGAAGGUAGAAUUCCCGGUGUAGCGGUGAAAUGCGUAGAGAUCGGGAGGAAUACCAGUGGCGAAGGCGGCCUUCUGGACUGACACUGACACUGAGGUGCGAAAGCGUGGGUAGCAAACAGGAUUAGAUACCCGUGUAGUC